Molecule: long non-coding RNA, 285 nt
Filed under: Lathyrus oleraceus (garden pea)
Lineage: Eukaryota; Viridiplantae; Streptophyta; Magnoliopsida; Fabales; Fabaceae
Description: Pisum sativum (pea) long non-coding RNA (PSAT_LNC000783)
Source: RNAcentral
AACGAUUGGAUAUGAUGCUUUUGACCAUGGCCACGCGUGCUUUGACCAAUGACUGGGAUGCUGAGUCGUUUAAUGAAACGCAGUGUUUCAUGCAUUCAAAUGUGGACUGUUGAUCUUGAACGCGCGCCAUAUCAGAUGGUUGUGGUUUUUUUUGGAUUUUAUUCAAAUAUCUUCAUUUCCCUCCAUUUUCUAUUUGAUUUUCCAAUUAUUUUGUUCACUUUGUAAAAUUCAUAAAAAAUACAAAAAUGAUCCAAAUGAGUCCCAAUUUUUUUUCAUGGUUUUUUA